AGAGCAAACUUUGACUGGACCAAAAGCCAGCUCCUAGGAAAGAACACAAGAAGACUUGAAGACCAAGUUAGCUUACAAAAGAACAAAAAUACCCCGGUAGUCUAUGAGAAGCAUAAGAGCAGGCUUUCCAAAUUAAAAGGUUCAAAGCUGAAACUGUCAAAAAUUAUUACACUGAAGACUGUGUGGUCAAAUAAAUUGCAACAGACAGCUAGAUAACAGCCUGAGAAGUGCAAUGGAAGUGCUAAACAAAAGCAUCUCGAUACUUUAAUAAGAACAGCU
This 279-nucleotide long non-coding RNA is filed under the name Elaeis guineensis (African oil palm). RNAcentral describes it as "long non-coding RNA (EGUI_LNC043669)". Lineage: Eukaryota; Viridiplantae; Streptophyta; Magnoliopsida; Arecales; Arecaceae. The record is from RNAcentral.